Homo sapiens (human) is the source of this 216-nucleotide small nucleolar RNA. Lineage: Eukaryota; Metazoa; Chordata; Mammalia; Primates; Hominidae. The record is from RefSeq and is marked validated.
GGCCCAGCAAUGUAAUUUCACAGGGCGAUCAGUGUUUGCAUGUAAUAGCAGGCUGCGCUGAGGUGUCAGAAUAUUAAAGGCGCUAAUGGCAAAGCUCCCUGUUACACAGGGGGCCACCCGCCGCACCUACAGCAGGGCUAUGCGGCAGGCCCGUCGCAGAUGGCUGGCCACUAAGCUAAUGGGGCAGCAGCCAAGGCGGGCAGAGCCACGAGAGGG